ACGAACGCUGGCGGCGUGCCUAACACAUGCAAGUCGAACGAGAAAGUCCUUCGGGAUGAGUAUAGUGGCGCACGGGUGAGUAAUACAUAGGAACGUACCUACAGGUGGGGAAUAACCACGGGAAACUGUGGCUAAUACCGCAUACGAUUGUGAAAUCAAAGGGGGCCUCUUCUUGAAAGCUCUCGCCUGUAAAUCGGCCUAUGGCCCAUUAGCUAGUUGGUAGGGUAAUGGCCUACCAAGGCAACGAUGGGUAGCUGGUCUGAGAGGAUGAUCAGCCACACUGGGACUGAGACACGGCCCAGACUCCUACGGGAGGCAGCAGUGGGGAAUAUUGCACAAUGGGCGAAAGCCUGAUGCAGCAACGCCGCGUGAGUGAAGAAGGCCCUUGGGUCGUAAAGCUCUUUCGGCAGGGAAGAAGGGAAGCUUAGCUAAUAUCUGAGCUUUUUGACGGUACCUGAAUAAGAAGCACUGGCUAACUACGU
Molecule: ribosomal RNA, 482 nt
Filed under: uncultured bacterium
Lineage: Bacteria
Description: bacterial SSU rRNA
Rfam family: Bacterial small subunit ribosomal RNA
Source: RNAcentral